ACUCUGGAUGAGGCGAGAGGNACCCGCUGANUUUAAGCAUAUUAUUAAGCGGAAG
This 55-nucleotide ribosomal RNA is filed under the name uncultured fungus. RNAcentral's name for it is "partial 28S large subunit ribosomal RNA". The record is from RNAcentral. Lineage: Eukaryota; Fungi.